GGGAUUGUAGUUUAAUGGUUAGAGCACCGCCCUGUCACGGCGGAAGUUGCGGGUUCGAGUCCCGUCAGUCCCGUUCCCUUUUUUAUAAGUUUUUUAAAUAUUUAGUUUUUUGGAUGAUAAAAU
RNAcentral lists this transfer RNA (123 nucleotides) under Euglena gracilis. Its description in RNAcentral is "trnD". The stretch from base 1 to 73 matches the Rfam family "tRNA". Rfam says of the family: Transfer RNA (tRNA) molecules are approximately 80 nucleotides in length. The record is from RNAcentral. Lineage: Eukaryota; Euglenozoa; Euglenophyceae; Euglenales; Euglenaceae.